This 78-nucleotide transfer RNA is filed under the name Nakamurella aerolata. Its description in RNAcentral is "Nakamurella sp. DB0629 tRNA-Ile". It matches the Rfam family "tRNA". Rfam says of the family: Transfer RNA (tRNA) molecules are approximately 80 nucleotides in length. Their secondary structure includes four short double-helical elements and three loops (D, anti-codon, and T loops). The record is from RNAcentral. Lineage: Bacteria; Bacillati; Actinomycetota; Actinomycetes; Nakamurellales; Nakamurellaceae.
GGGGCGGUAGCUCAGUUGGUCAGAGCAGCGGACUCAUAAUCCGUCAGGUCCUGGGUUCGAGCCCCAGUCGCCCCACCA